RNAcentral lists this long non-coding RNA (1254 nucleotides) under Zonotrichia albicollis (white-throated sparrow). Its description in RNAcentral is "lncRNA (ENSZALG00000006173.1)". Lineage: Eukaryota; Metazoa; Chordata; Aves; Passeriformes; Passerellidae. The record is from RNAcentral.
UCCCACAUGGUGCAAAAUGAGAUGGAGCCUCACUGUUCCUGGGGCUGAAGAAGCAGAACAUGAGGGAGGUGCAGCCUCAGAUGUACCUGAGCACAGCAGCAGCCUCUUCCAGAAGUUCAUUACACCUGAACUCGUGCCUUUUGGGCAGCCAGGGGACAGAAUCAUCUCCUUCCAGGACUCCAGUUUUCUGGAAGACAAAGAAGAGCUGAGCAGUGGUUUUGUGAAACAAUUAAGAAUUUCCUUAUCUUCUUAUAGUUGAGUUUUGCAAAAUCAUCUCUCUGGGUUUCAAUUUUCUGGAAUGUCUUUUGAGACUGUCACCAUUCCCAGAAAGGCCUUUGCACCAUCUAAUGACUUUUUAACCUCAUGAUACCUGUUCCUAUCUGCAGUUUUUCCACUGGGAGGCUCAUGGAUGUGGCUUUUUUACUGCAGAUCUUGGCAGGAGUCCUUUUGUGGAGGGUGAAACUGCCAUGGGCAGGGCACCUUCCACUAUCCCAGGUUUCUCUGAGUUCCAUCUAAACUGGCUUUGAACCUUUCCAGGGAAGGAGCAGCCACAGCUUCUCUGGGCAACCUGUGUCAGAGCCUCCCCACCCUCACAGGGAAGAAUUUCUUCCUAAUAUCUAAUCUAAACCUAAUAUCUAAUCAAAACCACUCACAUGGUCAGGAGGAGAGACAGCGCAUGCAGGAAAGGUCCUGCUGAGAUUGUGCAGAGGGUCAGAUUGUUUUGGAUGCAGGAGAAAAACAACUGCUUCUUCCUUCCUCUCGGAAACGAUUUUGCCUUGGCCCAGCUUGUGCAAAAUGGAAUUAGAGAGCCUUGCUGAGCACCGGGAGCUGGCGGGAGCCAUCACUCAACCAAUUCAUCAUCAUGGGAGCCUGGUAUCUAAUAAGCAGGCAUGAGAUGAUGACGACGCCUGGGUGUGAAGUCUGCUCCGAGGCCUUCAGUGCAAGUCCUUGGCACACCUCUUCAGACUCAGCCUUCCCCUCCCAUCCUGAAAGUUUCCAAAGUGAUGGGAGAGAAGCCGUGGUUGUGUUUCCCGGGCUGACACCUCCUGCUGAGCAUCCUUCCCUGCAGGAAUGGCAGUCCUGUCGCGUUACCCUGGGCGCGCGCCGCCGUGCCGCUGAUGGGACCAGACAGGAUCCGUCACUGUGCUGAUGUGUCUCCUCCACAAAAAAUCCCGAAUGACACCAGCAUCCGAGAGACGGGGAACAAAGGGGAAAACAAAUAAAAUUAUCUGCUCUGUUUGGUCCCCUCUGGUC